GCGUUGCUAGCAUUUUAACUAAAUCUUCUGGAAAUGUUUUCAAAGGUCCCUUCCAAUGUUAAAAUGCUGUCACUCUAAGAAAAUUAUACAAGUUAAGACAGAGUAUGUAGACUAUGACAGCAUGUGCUGAGGAAAUGAACGCGAGUCUUCUGUUGCCAUAUGUUGUUCUUGGCUUAACUAAUCAAUAGUGUUAUCAAUUAGCAUUCUGGCAUCAUUCCUUUAAGUGAAAAUAUAGUACUUUUAGUCAUAUCUUGCUUAGCUUUUUUUUUUCUUUUUACAUUUUUAUUGAUCAUUAAUCCCUCCAUCUUCCCUUCACCAAGACCCUUCUCAAUGAAGAAAAACUGUAUGAUAUAAAUCUAAUUAACCUUUUGGUUAUGAUUCAGUCUAGGAACGAGGAAAAAGACGUUUGUUUCCAAAAUGCUAUGAAAGCAUUUGAGAAGUUAACCAUGCUUUUAAACCAGAUAUAUCAAUGCAGUCUAAACCAGCUGAGGAAAAGAUGAAUGAAGACGGCUUGCUCACUCUUUUGUCCUUGACUAAAUAAAUGAUGCACUGACAUUGCA
Molecule: non-coding RNA, 560 nt
Organism: Phascolarctos cinereus (koala)
Lineage: Eukaryota; Metazoa; Chordata; Mammalia; Diprotodontia; Phascolarctidae
Source: RefSeq, a predicted model, not a curated record